GGGACAGAGAACGUUCACUUGAAAAAAUAUUGCAACAUGCAUACUGUUUUCAUUGAAUAGACUAGCACCAACAUUUGAUCGUUUGCCUCCAUAACUACGACAGUGAGAUAAAAAGUAAUUCCUUAUACAUAUUCACAUAAAAGUAAUACACAUCAGUACCAAACUUAAAAUUAAAAAAGACAAUUCCAGUUUUCAUACAGAAAGACAAGAAGAACGAACUUGUAAAAGUAUCGAGAAAGGACAUGUAGGGUGUAAGUAUAUAGGCAACUACCUACAUCAACCUCUCAAAAGAAAAUUGGCAUGAAAAGGUAAGUUUGAAUUGAGAAUUACAUCCCCUCCAAUUUUCAACAAAGUAUUAGUACCAAACAGUUCUUGAUAACUGCACUAAAAGGGACUGAAACUAUUCAAUAUUUUUUUCAAGCAGAACACUCAUGUUAUCAUAAAAAUAUUUGUGACGACAUUUCACAAACACAUUCUUAAUUCACAAGCACGAAGAAGUAUGAUCCUUGUAAACUUCCAUUAACCCAUGCAAGUAUAAUCACAACAGAAUAUUUGCAAUAAUUAACCACAAAACAAGGGGAAAAAAAACAUCACAUAGGCAGAGCAGCAGGUAAUACAAAAUACACAGUAAAAGCCAGCCAAGAGCACUAGGACUCAUUUUAUAGAGAUAUUGAUGCAUAAGUACCUUUCCUCUAAGUAAAGUAUGCACCAGUCUCAGCUAGCCUAGAGUCUUAAUGAGUACCUUAUAGCCCUAUAACAGUCAGCACAACUCUUCAAAAAGAUUGAAACCUUUGGAAGAUGACUACAUCAAGGAAAUAGCAGCAAAUAACAAAUUAAACGUCACACAAUCUCCAUAUGACAAGUAAUGACCAACAUACUAGAAGGGGUUCCUCUUUCUGUACAAAAUUGCAUAUGUGUGGCUUUUCUUUUGCAGCCGUUUUGUAUAGGGGCAGUACCCCCUUGGUACCUUCUUAAUGGAAUUUUCUUUAUUGUUCAAACAACAAUAAUAACAACAACAAAAACAAAGACAUCUCAACAGGGAAAAGAAGUCACUGACUUUAUUUGACAUGGCAUCCCGUCAAACAUACACUUUGCAUUCACGGGUCCUUGCAGAGGGGCGUCAGCGUCGUGCGGAGGAGCGUCGGCAGCGUCGGCGUCAGGGUGGGGGAGAUGGAAGCAACCAGCCGAGGAGAGAGAGCAGAGGAGGGGGAAGAGCAAAUGGAAGCACACCUGCAUUUUUUUUGUUCUCCCCCGCAACGAGACGGAGAACGGGGAGAGAGAAAGGAGAGAGAGGACGAGUCGACAGGAGAGCGUCAGAGUGGUGGGCCCCAAG
Molecule: long non-coding RNA, 1333 nt
Filed under: Eucalyptus grandis
Lineage: Eukaryota; Viridiplantae; Streptophyta; Magnoliopsida; Myrtales; Myrtaceae
Description: long non-coding RNA (EGRA_LNC006541)
Source: RNAcentral